GACCGAGUGCCGCUCACGCCC
This 21-nucleotide non-coding RNA is filed under the name Arabidopsis thaliana (thale cress). The record is from RNAcentral. Lineage: Eukaryota; Viridiplantae; Streptophyta; Magnoliopsida; Brassicales; Brassicaceae.